This is a non-coding RNA of Globicephala melas (long-finned pilot whale), 2801 nucleotides long. Lineage: Eukaryota; Metazoa; Chordata; Mammalia; Artiodactyla; Delphinidae. The record is from RefSeq and is a predicted model, not a curated record.
UGCAUGCACUUGUGUGUACACAGAUCAACCAGCCUCCUACAUAGCAAUAGCCUCCAUCCAUGGACACCCAAUUUUUAAAAAUCCAGGCAGCCCAGGGAACUAUACUCUUUUUUUCCCCUCUCUUUUCUCUCUCAUUUUUUCCCCUAAAAAACAGCCUUUUUAAAACAUAUAUAUAUUAAACCAGGCAAGUUUUUACUCAUACGUUCAUGUGGCUGGAGCAGAUUGACAAGAAAAACAAUCACAAAAUAAAUAUUUUUUGUUUUUUUGUUUUUUAAAAAGAACAUUUCCUUAUACAUUGUCUCUAACUUGACAGAGCUGCUUUCUUGGACAGAACAGAUGCUGUUGGGAGAGGAGCUCUGGCUGGACCACAAGGGGAACGUGGAGCCAGCCAGGCCCUGACAGACACUGGGGAGGCCAAGGAAGCAAGGGGGCCGAGGGAGAGGGAGGGCAGCAGGGCUGCCUGGCUGCCCUGAGUGGUCCUCCGUGGGUGUCGCUUCCUGUUUCCCCAAGGGAGCUGGCUUGAGGAACGGUCUGUGUCUGGAGGGCUCAGAGGAGGCAGCGAACAAAAAGUAAGAACCACUGUGGGGAAUCAUGAAACAACGCCAUUUAAGAAAUCUGGCUAAAAAGAAUACAAAAGUGACUCCACGGAGGGGGAGGCGGUGCUCCCACCUCUCCCAUUGUUGUUCCCUCUUGCUUUCUUGAAUGCUGAGAAUCACUUUUAAGAAUUUGUGUGUUGCACAGUUGGGCUGGUUCCUUUUCUGAAGCUCUCCCUGGCUCCCUCUCCUACAACUGCAUUCAUGAGAAAGCACCGGCUUCACAGAUACGAGGCUGCUGAGUGCUCGCCUCCCCUUGUGAAUGUGUGCGCGUGUGCACACGCGUGGUGUGUGCAUGUGUGCGGCGGCUGUUUUCUUCUCUCCUGCCUGCUUCAGUUCAAGCCCCGAGUCCCAUCUGCUGGGUGCAGUCUUAAGGGAACACCCCGUUGGCACUAAGGGUUUGGCAGCUUGGAGUUGAAAGCCCUCAGAGACGACUGGAUCCUGCCCACCUCAUUGUUGGCCAGUUUGAGCCGAUGCCGGAGCAAGCAGGAGAAAAGGUCAAGCCGCACCUUGCCAGAUGCAACUCAUAACUGAGAAUGACACGCAAGUAUGUCAAGAUAAUAGGAGACGCUAACAGGCCGUGUGUGCGUCAGCAUUCCCAGCUCUGCUGUGUUGGACAGGGGCCCUCCCCGGCCUCAGUGGCUGUCAUGGGUGACGCGCUCUGGCUCGGGCAGCUGGGGCGCUCACCUCUCCUUGGGCAGGCGGAAGCGGGGCUGCCGGUGACAGCGCUUGCAGAGGUUGAAGAGCCGGCGGACGAUCCGAUGGGUCUUCUUGAACAGCACUUUCAAGCUGACUCCCAGCUGCUGGUAGCGGUGCUGGAGGCUGGUGUCCAUGGCCCAGAACUGGGAGAUGGCUGUGGAGUUCAGGAACCUGUCGUCCGGCAGCCGCUUCAGCAGGGCCUGGAAUUCCUCUGUGGGUAAGAACACGAGAGCUGAGCUGAGGGGCACCUGAAUGGGUGCCCAUCAGGAGGACCUCCCCCUCCCCCCAGACCCAGCCCGCCCUUCAGUCACUGUAUGAGAAAGGAGGCUUCACAUCCACCCUCCCGGGCCCUUCUAUUUCUUUCUUUUCAAACAUCCUUAUCAGAGAUGAUUGACAUACCUUAAGAUAUGGAUUCUUUCCCAACCUUCCUGUUUCUAAUAUGCUUCUGAAUUUCAAAACACAUCUCUGUCACCACCCACAGAGCCAAUGACCUUGGGAUGCAUCUCUCUUGCCCUUUAUACCGCCUUAUAAUUCAUGCACAAUCUUCUUCAAUCACACCACCGCACCCUUAGGGAAGGUGUGAGGCAUUCAUGAAGGUGAGGGCGGACAAGACUGGCAAAUGCAGACACAGAAGAGGGAGCACCCAGCUCAGAAGUCUUCUUAGAAGCCUUUCAGUCCCUGAGACCAGCCUCUUCCCUCCAUGUCCUUCUCUCUGACUCUAGGACACCUUUCCUCUCUUGAGAUUUACCUCUUGGCCAGACACCCAUUCUUUCUUGAAACUAACCCGGAAGCAAUGUGCUUUCUGGUUCUUAGCUCCUGCUGCAAGUCUGAGUCCUCCUCAGAGCUUCCUGGGCACAAUGUGUUUUCUGAAUUCACGCUCAGAUCUCUGUCUAUGCACCUGCUUUUACUUGGAACCUGCAGCCAUCACGUCUCCUGAUGGGGGUCUGGACAGUCCUCCUUCACUCACUGGCAGUAAUCCAUAGUGCUGAAAGCCCAAAGUCCUUUCCCACACCCUCUAGCAUUACCUAACGCAUCCCACCACCAUUGGUCCAAUGCAGCUGGGGGGCCGGAAUAUGAUACUCUCCUUAGCCACUGAAUGCCUUGUUUAAGACCUGAGAUGGCAAUGCCUGGAGCCUCAGUUCAUUCUGAUUUCUCAAGUCCCUGGUUCUUCAUCCCCCACCCAGAUGACUGGAAAAAUUACACCUAGUAAUGACAUUAACAACUAGUAGUGUGUGCAUAGUUCUUUUUAUGAAACACUUAGGUAUACAAAACAGCACAGAGAAUAACAAGAUAAACUCCCAUGUGCCCACCACCUAGAGUUUGCCAUUUUGCCAUAUUGAAUUCAGAUUUUUUUAAAAAAGAAAUAUGGCAAAGCAAAUAUACUUGAAGGCCUUAAACUUCCCCCUCCAUCUUUAUCUAGAUGUAACUACUCUCUUGAAUGUUUUAUUACUAUCAUAUAUUUUUUAACGUUUUCUAAAAAUCUAUUUAUCCAUAAAAAUACUAAGUAUU